RNAcentral lists this ribosomal RNA (1247 nucleotides) under Urochela quadrinotata (four-spotted shield-bug). RNAcentral describes it as "16S ribosomal RNA". The stretch from base 838 to 1193 matches the Rfam family "Archaeal large subunit ribosomal RNA", at positions 2155 to 2712 of the family's 2987-position model. Lineage: Eukaryota; Metazoa; Arthropoda; Insecta; Hemiptera; Urostylididae. The record is from RNAcentral.
UAUUUGAAAGAUUAAUAAUCUUUUUUAUUUAUAUUAUAUGUUUAAUAAAAACAAUUUAUAUAUAAGUAUAGUUUAUAGAAUUUAUAUUAUUUAUUUUUAUAGAUUAUUGUACUGUAAAGGAAUUUUAUAUUAAUGAAUGUAAGUAGAUUUUUAUAUUGUACCUUUUGUAUCAGGGUUUAUCAAAUACUAUUAAUUAAUUUAAUUUUCCCGAAAUUAUAGGAGAUAACUAGUGUUUAAAUUUAAUAUGGUAACAUUAUUAAGUAAUAUUAGUUAGGGGUUAUAUGCUAUUCAACUAUAACUAUCUGGUUUUUUGAGAAUUGAAUUCAAUUCAGCAUUGUUACAAAUAUAUUUAUACUAUAUUUAAUGUAUUGUUUCUUUGUAAUAUUUAAGGGGAUAAGCUCUUAAAUUCUUUUAUAGAUUUAUAUUAUUUAAAAUUAAAAUUUGUAGGAUUGAUAAUUUCUUUCUAUUAUUUUGUUAUAAUUAAUUUUACUAUUUAAAUUUAUUUAUUUAUUUCUUAGAUAUAUAUCAAAAAUCUUUAUUUAAUUAAGAUAUUAAAGGAUAAAAUGGUAAAAUUAGUAAAUUUUUUAAAAUAUAAAUAGGAACUAGGCAAAUUUAAUAUUCACCUGUUUAACAAAAACAUGUCCUUAUGAAUUAAAUAUAAGGUCAGGCCUGCUCGGUGAUUUAUUUAACAGCUGCAGUAUAUUGACUGUGCAAAGGUAGCAUAAUCAUUUGUCUUUUAAUUGGGGACUAGUAUGAACGGUUUGAUGAAAUAUUAACUUUCUUUUUAUAUUAAUUUUGAAAUUAAUUUUUGUGUUAAAAAGCAUAAAUUCAAUUAUAGGACGAGAAGACCCUAUAGAAUUUUGAAUAUCCAUAUUUUUAUAGUAGAUUUAUUAUCAAGUAUUUAAAAAAUAGUAUAUUUUUGUUGGGGUGACAGAGGAAUAUAUCAAACUUCCAUUUAAAUAAUUUUAUAAAUUUAUAUAUUAUUGAUCCUAUUUUUAGAAUAUAAGAUUAAAUUACCUUAGGGAUAACAGCGUAAUUUUAUUGGAGAGUUCUUAUCGAUAAUAUAGUUUGCGACCUCGAUGUUGGAUUAAAAUUAGAAUUUGGUGUAGUAGCUAAGUGUCUAGGUCUGUUCGACCUUUAAAUUUUUACAUGAUCUGAGUUCAGACCGGCGUAAGCCAGGUUGGUUUCUAUCCUUAAUAUUAAAAUUGUAUUCUAGUACGAAAGGACCGGAUACUUUAAAUAUUUUA